UACGUAGGCAGCAAGCGUUGUUCGGAAUUACUAGGCGUAAAGAGUGUGUAGGCGGUGCUCUAAGUUUGGUGUGAAAUCUCCCGGCUCAACUGGGAGGGUGCGCCGAAAACUGGAAUGCUUGAACGUGGGAGAGGAAAGCGGAAUUCCUGGUGUAGCGGUGAAAUGCGUAGAUAUCAGGAGGAACACCUGCGGUGUAGACGGCUUUCUGGACCAUUGUUGACGCUGAGACACGAAAGCGUGGGUAGCAAACAGG
Molecule: ribosomal RNA, 253 nt
Filed under: uncultured bacterium
Lineage: Bacteria
Description: partial 16S ribosomal RNA
Rfam family: Bacterial small subunit ribosomal RNA
Source: RNAcentral